AGGACGAACGCUGGCGGCGUGCUUAACACAUGCAAGUCGAGCGGAAAGGCCCUUCGGGGUACUCGAGCGGCGAACGGGUGAGUAACACGUGGGCAACCUGCCCCUCGCUCUGGGAUAACUCCGGGAAACCGGGGCUAAUACCGGAUAUGACCCUUUUAGGCAUCUUUGAGGGUGGAAAGUUUUUUGGCGAGGGAUGGGCCCGCGGCCUAUCAGCUUGUUGGUGGGGUGAUGGCCUACCAAGGCAAUGACGGGUAG
RNAcentral lists this ribosomal RNA (255 nucleotides) under uncultured bacterium. Its description in RNAcentral is "partial small subunit ribosomal RNA". It matches the Rfam family "Bacterial small subunit ribosomal RNA", at positions 26 to 286 of the family's 1533-position model. The record is from RNAcentral.